Molecule: long non-coding RNA, 3429 nt
Organism: Rhinolophus ferrumequinum (greater horseshoe bat)
Lineage: Eukaryota; Metazoa; Chordata; Mammalia; Chiroptera; Rhinolophidae
Source: Ensembl
CCGGGAGGCAGGGUGCACUUGAAGUAUUGGAAACAUUGCUUCAAAGAUCUGUGCGCUCUGAAGGAUGCUAAAUGCGGCGCGACUGGCGGUGCUGGGGAGACAGGAUUCCCCCGGCCGUCUUUUAUGGGGAAUCUCUUCUUCCCCUUCAUCCCUACGUCCUAUUCUAGCCGCCGACCAACUUGGUGCCUGGGAUUGCCUCGCUCGUGGAUGUAGAACCUGGAACCGCGGGAGGGUGAGCGCUAAUGAGAGUCCUUUGGGGAUGCCGUGGGGUUGCCACGGGGCUGGGGUGCUGGCGAAAGAGGAGCUGUUUGCACGUUGUAGAGCCACCGGGGAAAGGACUGGAGGAGCGAGGCCGUGUUCCAGGGCACAGCACAGAGCGUUUGCGGAAGGAUUGACAGGCGGAGUAGACCUAACCAGUGUGCUCCGAGCACAUCUGGGCAUAGUUAAUUUGGGAAAUACUUCAUCUUUCAGAUGCUUUCCCUUAGAUUUACAUCAUCUGGAGCUCUGGAGCCGAGCUGCUGCCCUGGGCGGGUGCACGGAGGACAGAACCCUCAGUUACAGCUGGGUAACCCCGGACCUGAAUGGAGGGGGCCUGAACAACCAGAGGUGGACGUUUUCUGCGAAUGCAGGGCCACUGGUCCAGAGGUCUAACCACCCCUGACUCCUCUUGCCAGAGAUUGGAGCACUGGGACUUGUAAGUGCUAUGAAUCUGCAGUUCACCUUGGAAAGAGAACUAUUUCAAGUUGAAGGUGAAUGACCUCACACGUUCUCCAAAAUGUCUAAUAGAUUCCCAGCACAGUCCUACUUCAGUCUUAGGGCACAGCUGUAGGUACAGGACUGAUGCCAUCUGGUGUAAUUUCACAACAUCAGAGGGAAUUCAGCCAGAGUGGGCCAUGCGCUGGCUUUUCUGGGAAAGAUGUGCUGCCAAGAUUUGUUUUGGAUUCACUUGCAGGGGUGAGAACUUGGAAUUAGGUGAGUGCAAACUAUGCAGUACCCCGUUUUUAGGCUGGCAUUUUAUGUUUCCAGUUCUGUCUGUAGUUUCAAAAUAAGUACAAAAAGAGUGAAGUUUUUUUAAAUGGCUGAAAUUUUAAACAUUGUGGAAUGGUUAAACCGUUUAGGAUUGUGGGAAAUGCUUCCUUUUCCUAACUCAUCCUUUCUAAUCUAGGGACGUGUAGGAUAGUGAUGGUCCUAAUGCAGUACUCAGAAAGUAUCAGCAGGUACUGUUCUAGGUCGUCACUGGUACAGCUGCUCUGAGGCACUUGGGCUGACGUACGCUAAAUCCACAGUUAAGUCUGCUCUGGGAUCACUGGGAAAUCUCGGCCCCAUGUCUGUGUCCCAUGCAGGGCGGAUUGAGUGGUAGGUGUCUGGUGCUGAUUUUUGGUUGUUGUUUGAAUCAGUGAAAUAAAUUCUCAAUUCUCCAUUUCUCACUUCGUGUACACAAAAUAAAGUUAUACAUUAAGUAAUGAUCUGAUUAACUAUCUUAAUAGUUAGCAUCUUACCCUGUAAGAAUUUGGGUAAUCAGAAGGGCAGACCUGUGUUUCGAACAGUAAUCAGAACAUAAUGGGCACUCAGAAAACUUCCAGAUGGGUUGAGCUAAAAAGCCUUAUUUUCAUUAAUAACAGCUAUUUUAUAUAAGCCGAACCAUUUCCUCCAUUCUUGAUCUGUGUAGACAUGGGUGGGUUCAAGUUGAAAUUUUUGUGCUCAGCUUUUGUUUUAUUUAUAUGACUCUGAAGUUACUUGAACUUACUGAAUAUGUAUAGAUUCUUCAGGCAAGAUAUUUUCUACUUUCAGAUGGAAAUCUUGCUUUCCUAUUGGGAAUCCAGGUGGAUUGCUACCUUGAAGUUACUGCACUGAACAGUGGCUUAAACAAAGCAGGGGUUUUGUUCUCUAGUAACAAGGAGGUUGGGGUAGGUGAUUGCUGUGUUGGUUCAGCAGCUCACAGAUGUCAGGGUCAGGGUGGCCUCUCGGGUGCCCUUGCCUUUCCCUCAGGUGGCUGCAGUUCCCCUAAAGAAGCUGGAGAAGGCCAAAGGUCAUGCCAGUUCGAAUUGCUCCCUUUUAGAGAGUUUUCUCAGCCGCCCAACAACUGCCAGACUGUGUCACUGGCUACUGCUAUCCACAGAGUGGCCUGAGAAAUAUAGUCUUGGUAGCUGGGCAUAUAACUGCCUUCAACAAAAAUCUGAGUUCUCGUCAUGAGGUAGAUGAUGAUAGAUCUGGAGUGAACAACUAGCCUGUGUCCUGGCUACAAAGUACAGCUGUAAAGGCGCACAGCUUCGGGGCAGAUCAGCACUCUAGCACCUUCACAGGUGGCCGCCCGCCCAGCACCGCUGCUCUGCUCGCAGAGAGCGAGCGCAGAGUGAAGACGGGCUAGGCUUUCUUGCCAGCACUUGCCAAGACUGAGCUGGACUCUCAGCCAAUACACUUGCCCACAUCAGGAUUUUCCAGAGGAGGACCCUGGGAACGUGCACACUCCCUUGGUGGACAUACUCUCUUUAUGGAGGUUCGGAAUGGCAUGAAGAAUAUUCCUACCUUGCUGCUUCCUCAUCGGCUUCAUGUUUCUCUUCUCCAAUUUUCCUGACAGAUUUUUGGAGGAGUCUUGUUUGUGUAUGUGAUCUCCAUACAAGGAUCAUCCCUUUCAUGCCCAGAGGAGGGUCUAUGUAAAGAAAGCUGCUUUACCCCUUUUUGUGACUCCACUACCAAUCUAGGAAUCUCCUGGGUGAAAAACUGCUUCUCAAAACUGCUUCUAUAAGCAGCCCACACCCUGGCUAAGCAAAGGGAGAGGAAACACUUCCCACGUCCAGGGCUGUUCAAAAGAACUUUCUGUGAUGACAGAAAUGUUCUGUCUGCACUGUCCAAGAGGGCAGCCCCUAGCCCCAGUGAACACUUGAAAUGUGGCUAGUGUGACAUUUACAUAAAAAGUACAUUGUAAGUAAUGUAAAUGCAAGUGGCCACGUGUGGCUGGUGGCUGUGGUGUGGCACAGCGGGGCACACACGGCAUCUUGCACUUUAGAGCCAGCUGGGAGGGGUUUGAGCCAGCCCUGCGCCAGGCGUUCCGUGGUCUUCACUAUUCCGCCUUGCCGUUGAACUUGUCUUCUGGAGAAAAAGGAAAAAAUGGAACUAAAUUCAAGAUGUUCACUUGACAUCUCCUCAUUGCACGCAUAAUGGAGAGGGGUCUCCUGGGAAUCGGUCCUGUGAUUGAUUUUAGCGAUUAUUGAUAAUGGGAAAAUGGCGGAGCUGAUCCACGUAGCAAUUCCUAGGGAACAUUGUGUGUUCCUGGUCAGAUAAGUCAGCGGAGAUUAUUUUGUUCUAUUGUGCAAUUCAUUGUGUUACUUUAUUUUUGUUGUAUUAUGGCUGCUAAAUGAUGAUUUCGUGUAUGUUUUUCAAAAUACUUAGUGGUUUAUAUUUUUUUAAAGGCUGUGAAAUAAAAAAUAA